This 7423-nucleotide long non-coding RNA is filed under the name Zea mays. Its description in RNAcentral is "long non-coding RNA (ZMAY_LNC001553)". The record is from RNAcentral. Lineage: Eukaryota; Viridiplantae; Streptophyta; Magnoliopsida; Poales; Poaceae.
UGCCGGUGGGCUCGGCCUUCUUAUAUAAGUAUACCCCAUCUUUAUCUUCUUAUUGAGGAUGGUCACUUGAGCUAGCAUAUAUUUUAAACUUAUAAAUAAUUUAUAACAGUUUAAAGUUAUUUCUUUGAAUCACCUUUGUAAUCACCCCGGUCAUGUACAAUGUAAAAUUUUUGUAACCUGUAAAAUUUGGUACUAAGAUUUCCGCUGCAAAAAUGUUGUGUGUGUGAUUUGUGUUACUUAAUCCCGCGGUUCUGGUUGUAAGUGGUUUAUCCGAGGUCCUUGGGGCACUCAGACGGAUCCUGUUAAGUUAUUUGGUACACAUGCAUAGCCGUCUGAGGUCUUUGAGACAAGGACAGGUGCAUGUGGGCCCAAUAGCUUGGGAGGUUCUGCCACAGCUGGUAUCGGAGCUGGAUUAAGUAUAUACGGUCACAUACGUAUUUUUAAAACAAAAGUUUUGGUUUUGAAAAACCUAUUUUCAACUAAACACAUUGUUUGGCUUUGAAAAACAGUUUUGAAAAACUAUAAUGCUAGCGACAUCCUCUGUUAAGCCCUAAGUUAAGGACUAUAAGGUGGCUUAGUUUAGGAUGCUAACCACUAAUCCACAACUAUAAUGCAACUUUCUGCAGGUACACUAACUAAACCCUAGGAAAGUACGACUAGUGUUCAAUGACGGAGUGAGUAGGUAUGCCACCGUCAUAGAACGUGAUAGCCACUAUAUGUUGGCAAGAAUUAUGAGGACGAAUAGGACGAGCAUGCAUCAUGACAUACAAUUUUAAGUUAAACCCCCUAUGUAGUAGCUUAGUACAUGUUUCAUCCAUCUUAUUCAUGCUAUCUAUCUUUGCUUUUCUAUACUACCUUUUCCUAUUCGUGAAGCCUUGAGACUCAGUUCAUUUCGUGGACCUGUAGUUUAUAAGGUACAGUUGCCAAAGAAUUUGUCAACAGUGCACAACAUGUUCUACGUGUCCUAGUUAAAGAAAUGUUUUCGAGUCCUCAAGCAUGUUAUUGAGAUUGCAGAUGUUAACCUUGGACCAGAUUUAACCUACUUGGAAUAUCACAUAAAGGUGUUGGAUCUAAAGGAUCGGGUCACUCGAAGAAAAUUUAUCAAGUUUUGUAAGCUACAGUGGAACCAACACCCGGAAGAUAAACCAUAUGGGAACCAGAGGAGUAUUUAGAAAAACAUUUUCCUGAGUUCCUAGGUUCUCGUAAGUCCUAGGAUUUGUGUAGUUUGUCUUUGGUAUGAACCAAUAGGGGCACACCCCUGCUUUGUAGGAGUAAUGGGGAAAUAAGCCAGUGACGCAUUUCCUUUUCCAUUAUCUAGCCUAGAGUUUUAAAUCUCGGGACGAGAUUUCUUUUUAGGGGGGAAGGCUGUAACACCUCUGGUGUUACGUAAACUAAAACUCUGACAUGUCAUCAUAAGCAUCUGCAUUAAUGUGCUUGUUACACCUAGAAUGCAUUCACUAGGUUAAACUUUUUCAAAAGUGUGAUGUUGUGUGUUGGGUUUAGAGUUUAGUCUAAGGACUUGGCUUAAGCUAAACAGGGGUAGGUCAUCUCUUAAGCAAGUAACAAGUUGACUUGGAGUCUUAAAUGUUAAAGGUAAGUCUUAUAGCCUAGAGUAGACUUGUUUUGGAAUGAUGGUCAAGUGGAAGAAGCGCUUAAGAAGCUGGAAUAACUCCAAACCUUAACUUGAGCUUUGCUUGGAAUAGAUGGUUAAGUAAAGGAAAUUCUAAACCAGAACAUUUUGGAUAUGAGCUAUGUGUAUCAAAGAUUGGAUCUUAGACUAGAGAGUAACCUUGUUUCUGAUGGAUGGAUCAAAGGGAUGAAUCCUUGGAAGAAGCUGAAAUACAAAUGAAACUCAUUUGAAAUCCUAAAACUAGCCCAAAAGAGGAAUUCUAAAAUCUGGAAAUAAUUUGACAAAAGUCCAUAUAUCAAAGUUGUGGAGCUUGGAAAAGUGGAUAUGUUUCUUAUUUGGAGAUUCCUAAGUUGUGUGGAAGAAUUUGGAGUUAAGUACAAAAAUUCAGUUUUGGGUUCAUUUUAGAAUUGCUGAAAAUAAUAUAAACUAGACAACUUUGGACUCUUGUAACUUCUGAUCUAGAACCAUUUUGAAGAUGAUCAUUAUAACAAAGUUAUAGAGCUACAUGAGGAGUUUAAGUUUGGUUAAGUCAUAUAGCUCUAAAACUAUAUGGAACUUUGAGUAAAACUGGUCCAAAUAAAGCUGUCAAAAAUUGUGGAUUUCAGACUUAGUGAAAUUCAGAUUCUGAAUUUCAGCAAUUGGAGCAAACUUUGGGCUAUUGUAGUUUGGAAUUUAAGAGGUUUUGGUUAAUGGUCACUAUAUCAAACUUGUAGAGGAACUAGAGGAGUAUAAACUUUAUUAAGAAACUUGACCCUAAAAACAUUUGGAACCUAGAAAAAAGAGUGGUUCCAAGUGGUGCUGCUUUACUUCUGAAUUUUCAGAUUGAAAACAGUAACUGAAACUGAGUUUCAGUGUUUUGAUAGCAGUUUUGAAGCCUAUUUGUGGCUACUCUAUAAGGUUUUGUGUUAUGGUGUUUGUAAAAUAAGUGAAGACCAUAUAAUGUGGAACAACUUUCUUAUAGGGUGGUGGACCUGAUCCCAUACAAAAAGUGCAGAAAUAGUUGCUCAAAGAUUGGAUUGUCAGGUUGGUUAAUAACUGAAUUUUUAUUCAGUUCUGAACCCUGAAUGGCAGCAAGUUGCCCAGUUUGGAGCUCUAUGAUAAUUAAUCUACGGAGAUUUUGGUUAAGCGUUUUGUAGUAAAGUCAAAGUCCAUAUGAAGGGGAACAUGUCUCUUGAAGUGAGUGGGCCUGGUACUGUACAAGGUUGUGAGUAAAAUUGCUCCCAAACUUGCCCUGUCAGAAUUAGUGUAUGCCGUUUCAGACCUCUAAAACUGAAUUUUCAGUGUUUUUCUUUAGACUUUGGAGCUAGUUGAUGGUUGAUCCAAGGGGUAAAAGCUUAAGGGUUCUGUGGAGGAAUCAUAGAGGGUUGUUUGGUGGACAAGUUUUAUUUAACUUGCUCUCCCUGUUAUUACGAGAAAUUGAGAAGUUGAAGGGGGUUAACAGGGAGGUACGCAACAAGACAAUAGAGCUGAUGAGGCUGAUUCAGAAUUGGGUUCAGAUUCUGUUCAAGUAACUGAAGAAGAUCUGUCUUCCUUGUUGUGUUUAUAUUUGAGUGAAGGGGUAGAGAUAAGGAUUAAAUGCAUAGCUUAGAAGUUUGGGGCUCACUCUGUACUGAAAUAUCCAGUUUUGGACUGUUUGAAGGCAGUGAACAGGGAGACUUUAUCUGUUAGCCUUGGAUGGAUUGAGCUGGGCAGCAAAGUAACUCUAGUGGCUACCCCAUUAGAAAUAUCAAGUCUUGGACAUCUUUGUGCUUAGCCACAAGUGGUGUUCUCAGCCACACGCCUGCCUGUCUGUGUUCACUGAAUAAGGUUGAUAUUUUGGGCUGUUAGAGCAUAUCCACAAGGGAUAUUUGUGUGCUAGCUGUCCAGAUUCAGUGUCUAUAUUGUGCCUGUCAGUUUGUGAGUAUUUGAUGCAUGAAAGCCACGUAUUGGAGCCCAGGUUGUGCUGGCAUCUCUGGGAACUCUUCACCUCCAUGCACUGCACAGGUUUAGUGACAUCUGUCCUUCAUCUGUGGCUAUAAAACUUGGUCCAGGGAAGUUUUCCUCCCUAUCCUCAAGCUCCAGCCAGGUUGCAGCGUGUGUGAGGGUGGUAAAUCUUCUGUCCACACCAGUGUUCACCUCUCCCCUUCCCAAGUUUGCCCAGUCCCUAGGUGGUGACCAUCGUCAGUAGUUAGUCCACCUCGCCGUGACCAGGUAACUUUCAAAGUUUCCUUAGCCGAGCUAUACAUGUUUUGUGCUCUACAUCAGAUAGUGAAGCUCAUAUGAUGAUGAACAAAUCUCCUUAAGACAGUCUUGUUGGAUGCUAUAUGAAAAUUGGAGUAACAGCUGCUCAAAUCUAGACUGUCUGGCGGCUGAAACUGAAUUGUAUUCAGUCCACUGUGAACUGAAAUUCAGCACAAGGGUGUCUAGUUUGGAGCCCUAUGGUAAUUAGUGCAAGGCAAUUUGGGUUAGGAAUUCUUUAGCAAACUGAAAGGACAUAUAUAGGAGAACAAAUUCCCUAAAGAGGGUUGGACUUGGUGCUACACAAAAAGAGGAGUUAAAGUGGCUCCAAGUUGUGCUGUCCGACUGGAGAUAUGUAAAUUUAGUUAACUGUUGCUGGCAGUUUGAGUUAGUUUUUACCCAACUUUGGAGCCUUGUGGUAAUUACUCCAAGGGGAAAUGGGUUAGGGAUUCCACAUCCAGAUAAAAGACCACAUCAAGGACAACAAGUUUCAUUCAAGGAAUGGGCUUGCUACUGUAUAAGUUGGCAGUAAAAAGGUGUCCCAAACUUCUCUGCCAGAGUGGGUGCAGUGCUGUUUCAGUUCACUGAAACUGAACUUUUUUGUGAUUUUGCUCUAUUUUGUGGCAUCAUAACUUUUGAUUAGUAUGGUUUCAGUCUGAGGAUGCUAUGCCAAAGUAGUAGAGCUAUGUCUAGAGAAUAACUUGGAGUAAAUGAGUUGUGUUUGUUGUUGAGGGAAUUUGUGAGUUACAAAGCACUGAACAGAGAGAGAGGAAUGGAGCACUAAAAGAUGAAUUCAGAGAACUGAAAAUAGGUUCAAUGAAUUGUGGCUGAUUCUUGGACACUAUAAAUUGUAGUACAUGCAGUUUGGAUCCUUGCUUAAUGCAUAAAUAAAGUACUUGAUUGGUUAUGGAGGCAAGGUUUCCUAGUUUGGUUGGUGAAUUGAGUUGUGAUAUUAGAGUAUUUAGCUCUCUUAAGGUUUUGUUAGUUUUUGUAUGCACCUUUAGAGAGGUGUAAGUCCUGUGAUGCUUCUUAGUAUUUUCUUUUCAAGUUGCAUAAGCAUAAACAUCCAUGAUCAUGUUAUUUCAUAUAGAACUCCCAGCACAAGGACUGAAGAUUCAAGCUGAAGUGGUGACUGAAGAGGAAUCUACUCCAGUGGCUGCUGAUCAAGUGGAGGAGCCAUCUAACUGGGUAGCUUGUAGAGGGAUCUAGACCUCUUCACUGCAACAAAGGCAAGCCCCGGUGCAUGCAACCCCUUCCUUGUGUUUUUAAAUAAUUUUUGCACACUUUAAGUCUAGUGAAAUGUGCAUUAGGUUUAUAGGAGUUGCUUGAAACCCUUUGAUGCAUUGCCUUCCUUGAUAUCCAUACCUUUAUAGAUACUUCUGGUGAAGUAUCAAAAUAUGAUUUUCAAAAAUGCUUAGCCCUGCUUAGAUCUUGUGGAUAGAGGUUGUCUUUUGCAAUACUGCCUAGCUCAGGGGUUAUCCUGAGGAAAGAUGACUUCUACCUGCAAGAAUAUUUUCAUUGAGAGCGUGGUGGGAUCUUACUACAAAGUUCCCUUUGAUGCUCUUUUCAUCCUAGGAACAUAAACAAUCCUAAGGAUGAAAGUACUUAAAUCGGGACUUGGGCUAGGAAUAGGUGAUGUUCUACCCAGGUUAGCUAAGGAUUGGAUGCGUAUGUAGGCCUGUUGAUCAAGGACUAUCUUAACUAGCCACAUGCCCUGGAAAUGGGACAGGGUAAGCUUGAACCCGGCUAUUCCAUACAUGAAAAGACAAUCGCGCACUGGGAGUGGAGAGAUGGCGAGAGUGGCACGUACCCUCCUGGCAAAGGAUCGCCUAAAAGGGGUGGUGUGCUCUCGGGUGGCGUGGACCUGUUCAUGUAGUGGAGGAUCCGUGGGAACGGUUGACAUAUGCAAGGGUUAAGUGCUACAUAUGUCGUGUGGUUAGAGAUCCUCAGCUGAGUAAAUCGAUUCGGAUCGCCGUUAUAUCCCCGGAGAGUGGAGACUUGAUCUCCGACCUACAACCUAAGUCAGGAUGUAAACAUUAUGAAUAAAAAUGAUGUUGUAUUGAUGAGAUGGUGAAAUUAGACCAGAUGCAAAUAGAGUCUAUUAAUAUUUAAUCUGGCGUUAAAAUAUUGAAAGUAAGGACUCACUUUAGUAAGCUAUUUCUGCAAAAGUAUCUAAGUUGAUUCUUGCUAAAGCCUCUCCUUGAUUCCCAAAUCCAGCAUAUCCUUGAGAGUCUUUUCUUUAGUCGGGUAAGUCUUGCUGAGUAAUUCCAUACUCAGGGUUUUAUUCCCUGUUGUUUUUCAGGUUAUAGUUUUGUGCUGCUGUUGAUGGUGUUAAGUGCCGGUGGGCUCGGCCUUCUUAUAUAAGUAUACCCCAUCUUUAUCUUCUUAUUGAGGAUGGUCACUUGAGCUAGCAUAUAUUUUAAACUUAUAAAUAAUUUAUAACAGUUUAAAGUUAUUUCUUUGAAUCACCUUUGUAAUCACCCCGGUCAUGUACAAUGUAAAAUUUUUGUAACCUGUAAAAUUUGGUACUAAGAUUUCCGCUGCAAAAAUGUUGUGUGUGUGAUUUGUGUUACUUAAUCCCGCGGUUCUAGUUGUAAGUGGUUUAUCCGAGGUCCUUGGGGCACUCAGACGGAUCCUGUUAAGUUAUUUGGUGCACAUGCAUAGCCGUCUGAGGUCUUUGAGACAAGGACAGGUGCAUGUGGGCCCAAUAGCUUGGGAGGUUCUGCCACAGGUACCGGGGUCCUCGGUCACUUGCUCGUCUACUCGCAACAAUACAAACAAACAUGGUAUAGAAGAAAUUAACAUCACACCAAAUAGAGGAAUAUAAUGUAUGAUAAUAUUCUACGCACCAUAACGAGAUCGUGGGUUCGAGAAUCACUAAAUUUGGAUUUACGGUUAAAAAGUUAUGAUUUUACGAAGUUUCAAGUUUUUGGUACGGAAUAAACUACGUGGAUAAUUUUAAUCUAUGUUUCAUGAUAAAACAGGCUUAUUAGAUGAUAAAUAAUAUUAAUACAAAAUUAAUGCAACUGGAAUGGGUAAAAAAGGAGUUAAAAUGGUCAAGUUAUGAAUUUUGUAAACUCCUUAAAUUUGUUUUUUAUACUAAAAACAAUUUUCUCCAUUUAUUUUUAUAUAAAAUGUCUUUUGGACCGUGGGCACAAAUUCUAGGGAAUACCGGGGCACAACUGCAAAUUCUAGGGCUCGGGUGUAAUUUAUUUCCACUGAGAAAGGAUGGUAGGUUGAUUUUUAUUAAGCCUAGGGACUCUUUCGCAAAACGAUCGGGCCGAAGAGGUAUCCCACGCUACGAUCCCCACGAUCCUAUAUAGAUGGUUCAAAUUAAAUCAGCCCCGCACUGAAACGGUAUGCGCCCGUGGCCGUUAGAUCGGCAACCAACAGACCAGAUUUAAAACCCCAACGAUUGAUUCCCACGCGUAUGAUUCGAAUCGGACAGUUCAGUUUACUCUAACCGAAUCGGUACGCUCGGGGAGAUCCGGGCCGUUCAUCCCGAUCCUACUGUUCCGACCAUCACACAGACUCUUCUAAUCUUAACAGUUCAUCGCAAAAUCGAUGGCCCAGAAC